CGGGGGGCAGGUGCGGCCCGCCGAGAGCUCGGAGCUGCGCGGGCGCGUGGCGGCUGGGCCGGGUGCCUGGGCGCUGCAGGGCUUUGCUAUGGCAGAGGCUGCGAGCGUGGUGCCGAGGGUCUUGUAUCUGAAAGAGCGGCUCGGCCAGACUCAGGAUCCCCAAAAGAUUAUAAAAGCACUUAAGGGACUUCAGGAUUUGGAUAUUUCACUGGACAUUCUAGUGGAAACUGGAGUAGGAAAAACAGUUAACAGUUUUAGGAAACAUGCCACUGCUGGAAAAAUAGCUAAGUCUCUGGUAAACCACUGGAAAAAACUUAUUCCGCCAGAAAAUGAAAGUGACCACAAGGGGAAAAAACAGAACACUGAAAAGAGGAACGAAUUCUCAUUGGACAAGACAAAGUCAUCGAUUUGUAAAGAGAAUAAGAACUCUGGCAAGACAAAAACGUCUGAACCAGCCUCGGAAGAUGGUAAAAGAUCUCCCACAUCUGAUAAAUGGAAGAAGGAGCAUAGUUUUACAGAGAAUAAGCAAAGAAAUAAAGAUACUGAGUCUUCUAAUGGACGUGAAAGCAAAAUACAUAGCUCCAGUAGUUCUAAAAAUAUGUCCCAAAGCAUCAAUCCUGAAAACACAAAAAGUGACUGCAAAGAAACAACCUCUGCAGCCAGCAAAAAACCUUCAGAAAAGCACCAUUCCCCUAGAGCCAGCAAAAAAGACCUAUUGCCAACAAAAGGGUCUUGUAAGGAUCUUUCCAAACAGAGAAACUCUGAGGACACAGGAAAAUUAAAACAAACGCUUAGUGUGGAAAACAAACCAAAGUUGCCCAGUGAUGAGGACUUUGAGCCCCCCACUAUGUCUUUUGAAUCCUAUCUUAAUUAUGAUCAGGUUUCAAAUAAAAGAAAGAGGAAGACUUGUACUACAAGUGAACAGUCGAAAAACAUUAAGGGCUGCGAACAGAAAAACUGCUCGUUAUCGCCGAAAACUUCAAUAUCCCCGGUCACAAAAGAGAGAGAGGAAAAACCACACAAAUCAGAAGAUGAUCAGUCAGAAAGUCCCACUAAAAAGGCCAAGACAGCAUCGCUCCAAGAUCUACUUAAUACUCCACUGCCUAAAUUUCUGCCAGAGAUAUCCUUAUCUUCUCCCCCAUAUUCUACGGAGUUCAAAGCACCAGUCGCAGAAGUACCCCAGCAAAGCAGUGAUACAAAUCAAUUCACAGGACGGAGACUGAACUCUAAAAUGCAGGUUUACUCUGGCUCUAAAACAGUCUAUCUUUCAAAGAUGCUAACCCUGUAUGAACAGUGCAUCCGCAUACUUCAAAAUAACAUUGAUUCACUACAUGAAGUAGGAGGAGUGCCCUUUGAAAUUCUUGAGCCUGUGCUAACACGUUGUACACCAGAGCAGUUGUUUCGAAUAGAGGAGUGCAAUCCGACAUUUAUAGAAGAGUCUGAUCAUUUGUGGAAGAAACACUGCCAAAGGGAUUUUAAAAACGACCAUCUCCUGGAAUAUGAGUCAUGGCGUGAAAUGUAUGUGCGGCUCUUCAGUCAGAGAGAAGAAAAACUAAAGACCCUCACAAAAAACAUUAUUUCAGCUCAGUCUGAAAAACCUAAAGGGCGACAGGUUAAACUGGCUUACAUACAUAGUGUGGCAAAACCACCGAGAAAUGUUCGUCGGCAGCAAGAGAUCUAUGGGACAGCUGGACCUAUUGUACAGCUUCAUCCUAUCGAAAAGGGCAAAACAAAGAAUCCAGAAAGCAGAGACCGAAAUAACACCUCACCAAGCCCAAACGCAACCACUAGCAAUGUAACAAAUGGAAGCUCCAGCACUUACUCAAGUGGAGUGAGUCAGGAUAUAAAAAAAACAGUCAAAAAAAUUGCACCAAUGAUGAGAAAAUCUUUGAGAGCAUUCAAGAAUAGAGUUGGACCACGAUAAAACAGGAUCUUGCAUUUCUGAUUAAACUUGUGUUAACAUUUGCAUAUUCUACGCUAUGUCUACGUAAUAUAAAUUAGUGAAUUAUGACUAUAACCUGCAUUCAGUUAACAAAGUAGUCUCUUCAAUGAAAUAAAGUGGCAGAAUGCACACAGUGGUUUGUGAUUUAGAAUAAAAUCUAAAUCCUUGAUUAUUUUUUCCCCCUGCGCGUCCGUCCCCCCCCAUUCUUACUCCUUUGUAUCCACGAACCAAUUAGCAAAGUGAAUUGAAACAAGGCAACUCCAUAGGAGUCGAAUAGUAUCAAUAAUCUGUAGCCAAGGAAGUUCAUGCAGAUUUUCAUAAAUGAUCCUUGUAGAUUAUGAAGACUUGUAUAUGAACUUCAUUAUUUUUCAUUAGUGACUGAUGCAGAACUUAAAAUAUUUAUCCCUUUUUUUCUAUUUGUUUAAAACAAAAACUUAAGUAGACCAAAUUCCAUUAUAGUCUUGAAUGUUUCACAGUACAAUCUUUUGGUAGCCUCUAAACAUCUCUGGAAAAUGUGCAAGAUUAGACUUGCAUGAAAUAGACAGUAAAUGAGUAACUCAGAGGAAAUGAUUAGUGCUGCUCUUUGCCCCAAAAAGUACUACUACAAAUAACUUGUAUUUUGAUGUUGCAUGGACACAUGAAGAGUGUCCCAGCUAUGGCUGGUACAAUACUUUCUAUCAAAAGUAUUUUUGGAAAAAAUGGGAUUUUCUAAUGUAUUUUUUUUUUUUGUGAAAGGUGUCCGCUUUUUCUGCGGAAAAUUGCAACUUUCCAGUUUUUGAACAACAGCUUUUUGUUUUCAUCUGGCCCUGUGUGGUCAUGGAACUAAUUCCUAUUAUUUUUCAUUGUAAUACUGCCCUCUAAACACACACAGGACCUACAGCAAGAGCAGAGAACCAGAAGACACUAAAUUCCCUGAGCUUGUUCCAUUUGUUAGGGAUGGUGUUUGGGGAUCUUGCAGGAAUCUUGGCAACCCCGACACCCUCAGCAUGCGGCGUGAAGUGUCCAGACUGGUGCUGUCAUGAGACUUGCUACUUUAAACUCAAGGAAAACAUCUGGUUGAAAGAUGUGUUGGUUUCCACUGGGGUCUAUUGUUUGCAGUUGGAAGAGCGAAGCUAGUGCAAGUAUCAAUAGAAGUGCAGCAAUGGUAUCAUGGGUAGCAGUAGCAGAGGCAGAACUUAUUCGUGCCGAGUACAUACCCAAACUAGCUCUCAUGGGGAGCACUGGAUUAGCCAUGCUGAAUACAAACCUGCCUGAAACUGGUGGGUAUGUGCAUGCGAGCAGGGGAAAUCAUACCCCUAGCUCAUAGUGCAGACAUAACCUAUUUCUAAACCAGUUUCUAAUCCAUUACAGAACUCUACAUGUCAAAGUAUAGCCACUCAAUUUCCAUAUUUCUUCCCCGGAGGCUAAUCACUCAAAAGCUUUCUGAAACUGUGAGUGAAUUACAUCAACCAAUUCUCCUUUAUUGACACUUUGACAUGGUCAGACAAAUAAUUAAUGAGGCAUGGUUUUGUGGUGUGUGGGUUUUUUUUUGUUUUUGUUUUUUUAAAGCAGAAACUAUGCUGGUAAAAUUCUGUUGUCAUAAUUAUCUGUAUGUCUUAGAAUUCUAAUUGUAAAUAACAUUUAAAUCGAGGUCGAUCAUGAUUUAAAUUUUUUUAAAUUCGUUUACAUAGAUUUUUUUUUUUCAAUUUGAUUUUUAUUUUAUAUGUUGCUAGUACUUCACUUGUCCUAUUUUGCACUUUGCUAAAGUGAAUGUUUUGGACUUGUUUCUUAACUGUCCUAAUCGUUAGUAAAUUUCAGAUUUUACAUACUUUUUUUUUUUAUCUUAAGAAGCUUCACACUUUAAAAUGCUAUUGUAUGGUGAAAAGUCCAGGGCCUCAUUAACAUCCUUACUGUGAAACAACAUAAAUUCAAGCAUAAAAUUGAUAAGCAAAUAGGCCUAUAAUAAGUUUCAACCAACAGCACCUUCCAAUAUGUUGAACUACCAAAAGUAAAGAAAAGUUGAAAUUCUUUGGCCAGGCAAACCCUGAGAUUUGACCAAACCUCCCUUACGGUUUUGCAGUUUGAAGUCAAUGAUACUUGUGCCCCUAACUCACAUAGGUGCUUUGGAAAAUGUUACCUCUAUGCCUUAUCUCCCAGCCUGUGGCAGCAGUAGACUUAGGCCUUGUCUACACUACAGAGUUUUGUCAACAAAAUGUCACUUUUCCCAACAAAACAGUGGAGGUAUACACUACAAUGCUGCUUCUGGCGGCAAAACUCUCCAGUUUUGGUGACAAAAUAAUUCCCUUCCCGUCUUGAUAAGAGGCAUUGAGCUUUCUAUUCGUGGCAGAGUUAUAUCAACAAAGUGUCAGUGUAGACACCACACUUGUUUUUGUCACUAUAAAUGGACACAGGAGGUGUCCCAAAAGCCCCAUGCUGACCACUCUGGACUCAGCUGCCCUGUAGCCAGGUAAACAAGCAUCCACCUCGCCUCCUUCUAAGGCCCUGGAAUUUUUGAAAUUCCGCUUCUUGUUUACUUGGCGUGGAGAGCUCACAUCACAUCUUCCCAGGUGGCCGCGGUGGCUCCACGUGGCAAAUGCUUUUCGGCUUCUGCGAAGCUGUUGGAUCUGUUGAGUAUAUGGGGGGAGGAGGCUCUCUAGUCCCAGCUUCACUCCAGUCUUAGGAACUUCGAUACCUACAGGCAGACUUCUCGUGGCUCAUGUGAUAAGGGCUACAAAUGGGACACUGUGCAGUGCCAAGCAAAGAUAAAGGGGCUGAGGCAGGCGUACCAGAAGGCAAGGGAGGCAAACUGUCGCUCUAGUGCUGCUCUCAAGGGCUGACGCUUCUAUAAGGAGCUGGAUGCCAUCCUUGGUGGCAACCCCACCUCCACCACCAAGAGCCCCAUGGAUACUUUGGCGGGGCUGGAGGCAGCAGACAGAGGACCUGACCUCCAGGAUGAAGUCGUGGAUGAGGAGGUAGAGUUGGUGGACUAUAUGGAGCCCAUGGCAGGGUCGUCCGGUGGUGUGGCAAGUCAGCAACUUUUCCCCACUCCAGAGGUGUCUAGCCAGUCCCAGCAGUCCCUCUCUGGCUAGCAAGAAGCAGGAGAGGAGACUCCUGAUGUUGCCUUCAGGGGAGCCCCCUACUCAUGGGAGGAGUGCCUCUGCCAGAUAAGGAAGUGACCAAAGUGUAGCAAGGAAGACGUGCUCCAAGUGGUGCUGCAAUCCUCUGAGGAAGAACAAAGAGAACGCAGGGAGUGGAGAGAAAUGAAAGGCGGGACAGAGUCGAGCUCAUUCGAAAGGCCCAUGGGCAGAUGAUAGGUCAUGGCUACUUAAGUUCUUAAUCAAGCUACAGUCAGAAGAGAUGCAUGCUCACCCCCACCAUAGCCAAUACAGAACUGUUUUCCAUGUCCUCCCCAAACUCCUCCCACAUAUUCCCUUCAACUUUCUGGAACAUCUUGGUAUCCUGCUCACUCCACCCCGUCAGACCCCUUCCAAAAUGAUAGUUGGAUUUAUGCACAGCUAUGAGAGCCUUCAAUGCCCUGCACUGCUGCCUCCCUUCCUACCAAGUCUUUAGUGUGCAUUCAUUGGUGUUUAAUAAAAGCAAACUCUCUGAAAGAUAAUCACUCUUUAUUUGUGUCCUCCACAUAGUGAUUGCAGUUAAUAGUUAAACACAUACAUGCAGUUUAAUCAUUUGCUGACUGCAAUUUUCACUCACAAAUAGUCACAACGGUUAUGCUUCAUUAAUUGGAGUUUUGUUUGUUUGCCUGACAGAUUUCUCUAUACAAGCACACAUUACUGGUUCUCUCUCAAAAUGUUCCCUUAAAGCCUCCCUGGUUCGAAUUUCCCCCCAUUGUGCCCUUUUAAUGGCCCUGGCAUCAGGCUGCUCAAAAUCAGCAACCAGGCAAUCUACCUCAGCACUCCAUCUCCUGGACAAACUUUUCACCCUUAGCCUCUCAAAGAUUAUGGAGCAUGCAACAGGUAGCUAUGACCAUGGGAAUGUUUCCCUCACUUAGAUCUAACCUGCCGUAAAGGCAGCACCAGCAUGCUUUUAAUCUGCCAAAGGCACAUUCCAUGGUCAUUCUGCACCUACUCAGCUUAUUGUUGAAAUGCUCCUUGCUCUUCUCCAGGUUUCCCAUGUAAGGCUUCAUGGAGAAGUAAGAAGCACGCUGAGUUUCCCAGGCUCACUAUGGGCAUUUCAACAUCUCCCACUGGAAUCUUUUGGUCUAGAAAGAGAGCUCCUGCUUGCAGCUUUCUGUACAGACUAGUGUUCCUGAACAUGCAGGCGUCAUGCACCUUCUCAGACCACCCUGCACGGAUGUCAGUGAAAUGCCCUCCGUUGUCAAAAGCACCUACAGUAC
This is an RNA transcript of Trachemys scripta elegans, 6275 nucleotides long. It is a transcript of the gene named elongin-A-like, with no coding region annotated. The transcript has 12 exons. Lineage: Eukaryota; Metazoa; Chordata; Testudines; Emydidae. The record is from RefSeq and is a predicted model, not a curated record.